AGCUUUGCACAGUGGCAGUAUCGUAGCCAAUGAGGUGUAUCUGAGGCACAAUUAUUGCUAAUUAAAAAAGAUAACAUUUUUUAAAAUUGAAAGAAGUAAAUAAAUAUCGAUGAUUCCUUUA
RNAcentral lists this small nuclear RNA (121 nucleotides) under Cavia porcellus (domestic guinea pig). Its description in RNAcentral is "U4 spliceosomal RNA". It matches the Rfam family "U4 spliceosomal RNA". Rfam says of the family: U4 small nuclear RNA (U4 snRNA) is a component of the major U2-dependent spliceosome. The structure of U4 snRNA from yeast and human has been reported. U4 snRNA presents a k-turn RNA motif in the 5p-SL related to recognition of Snu13 protein. The record is from Rfam by way of RNAcentral. Lineage: Eukaryota; Metazoa; Chordata; Mammalia; Rodentia; Caviidae.